This 570-nucleotide long non-coding RNA is filed under the name Phasianus colchicus (ring-necked pheasant). RNAcentral's name for it is "lncRNA (ENSPCLG00000008749.1)". The record is from RNAcentral. Lineage: Eukaryota; Metazoa; Chordata; Aves; Galliformes; Phasianidae.
GCCAAAACAAACAAACAAACAACCCACCUUAAAAAGUUAAAUACAGGUUGAGAACAAUUGCUCUCAGCUUAACUUGAUUAUGUUAAUUAAUUAGGCAAUUUGAAAGAAAAGGUGAUUGGACCUGUGGAGCAAAGGGGAAGUAUUAACAAGGAGAGGGGUGACAAGCUCACUAACCUUUGUGGCAGAGAGGAAGACACAGAUAAUUAUCAUUUGUGGAAUAUUAAGGCAACAUUUGGGAGUAGAAGUUUGGGUAGGCAAUUCUGAAUAAUCCUGCCUGAUAACCUACUUACUGCCAAUACCCAAGUACAUCCAAUGCUGUGACUUCUUGGACAAAACAAAAACUUCCUGCUGACUAAUGUCUGCUUUGCCCCAAUCUGCCGGAUGCUCUGAAGACACAGCUGUUCUGCAUCUUCAUCCCAGAUUGUUACUCAAAGCUGAGCACCACCUGGUUGAGAGCAUCCAUCUCAGGCCACUGUCUUCUCUAUGAUACAUAACACAGCACACCAUGCAUCUGUGGAGAUAUUUGCUCCUCUUAGGCACAAAUACUCAUUUACUGUGUGCCAUGUUCUG